GUACACUCCUACGGGAGGCAGCAGUGGGGAAUUUUACGCAAUGGGGGAAACCCUGACGUAGCGACACCGCGUGAGCGAAGAAGCCCUUUGGGGUGUAAAGCUCUGUCAGCUGGAACGAAAACAAUGACGGUACCAGCAGAGGAAGCAUCGGCUAACUACGUGCCAGCAGCCGCGGUAAGACGUAGGAUGCGAGCGUUGUCCGGAUUUAUUGGGCGUAAAGAGUUCGUAGGUGGUUUGUUAAGUUUGGUGUUAAAGAUCGGGGCUCAACCCUGGGACUGCACUGAAUACUGGCAGACUCGAGUGUGGUAGAGGCUAGUGGAAUUCCCAGUGUAGCGGUGAAAUGCGUAGAUAUUGGGAAGAACACCGGUGGCGUAGGCGACUAGCUGGGCCAUAACUGACGCUGAGGAACGAAAGCCAGGGGAGCGAAUGGGAUUAGAAACCCGUGUAGUCCCAUGA
This 456-nucleotide ribosomal RNA is filed under the name uncultured organism. Its description in RNAcentral is "partial 16S ribosomal RNA". It matches the Rfam family "Bacterial small subunit ribosomal RNA", at positions 331 to 804 of the family's 1533-position model. The record is from RNAcentral.